GUGCCAGCCCCCGCGGUAAUACGUAGGUGGCAAGCGUUGUCCGGAUUUAUUGGGCGUAAAGCGAGCGCAGGCGGUUUUUUAAGUCUGAUGUGAAAGCCUUCGGCUCAACCGAAGAAGUGCAUCGGAAACUGGGAAACUUGAGUGCAGAAGAGGACAGUGGAACUCCAUGUGUAGCGGUGAAAUGCGUAGAUAUAUGGAAGAACACCAGUGGCGAAGGCGGCUGUCUGGUCUGUAACUGACGCUGAGGCUCGAAAGUAUGGGUAGCAAACAGGAUUAGAUACCCUGGUAGUCCAUACCGUAAACGAUGAAUGCUAAGUGUUGGAGGGUUUCCGCCCUUCAGUGCUGCAGCUAACGCAUUAAGCAUUCCGCCUGGGGAGUACGGCCGCAAGGCUGAAACUCAAAGGAAUUGACGGGGGCCCGCACAAGCGGUGGAGCAUGUGGUUUAAUUCGAAGCUACGCGAAGAACCUUACCAGGUCUUGACAUACUAUGCAAAUCUAAGAGAUUAGACGUUCCCUUCGGGGACAUGGAUACAGGUGGUGCAUGGUUGUCGUCAGCUCGUGUCGUGAGAUGUUGGGUUAAGUCCCGCAACGAGCGCAACCCUUAUUAUCAGUUGCCAGCAUUAAGUUGGGCACUCUGGUGAGACUGCCGGUGACAAACCGGAGGAAGGUGGGGAUGACGUCAAAUCAUCAUGCCCCUUAUGACCUGGGCUACACACGUGCUACAAUGGAUGGUACAACGAGUUGCGAACUCGCGAGAGUAAGCUAAUCUCUUAAAGCCAUUCUCAGUUCGGAUUGUAGGCUGCAACUCGCCUACAUGAAGUCGGAAUCGCUAGUAAUCGCGGAUCAGCAUGCCGCGGUGAAUACGUUCCCGGGCCUUGUACACACCGCCCGU
RNAcentral lists this ribosomal RNA (892 nucleotides) under uncultured bacterium. Its description in RNAcentral is "bacterial SSU rRNA". It matches the Rfam family "Bacterial small subunit ribosomal RNA", at positions 505 to 1397 of the family's 1533-position model. The record is from RNAcentral.